This 62-nucleotide transfer RNA is filed under the name Bacopa monnieri. RNAcentral's name for it is "partial tRNA-Leu". Lineage: Eukaryota; Viridiplantae; Streptophyta; Magnoliopsida; Lamiales; Plantaginaceae. The record is from RNAcentral.
CUACGGACUUAACCCUCUAUCCCCAAAAAAGGACCUAUUUGACUCCCAAAAUAUUUAUCCCA